UAAUUUUCCAAUGGUCCCCACACACACUCCUUCAAUGCAAUUCAAGUUUCACCAACUUUUUUGCUCUGCCUCUUCUCUAGUCUAUCAAUAUAUAAGCAUGUGUUUUUUAUGUGAGAUAUAAUUCGAUCACAUACCUACACUAACUAUUCUAUAUAUAACAACACACACAUAUACACUAGUAAAUAAAAUCCUCUCUUAGCUUGAUUACAUUUCUUUGUUUUUUUUUGUUUCAAUAGCUAAAAGUGUUGAUUUCAAAAGAAAUUGGAAGAAUUUGGUUAAGGGAAUGAAAAUGAAGACGAGGAUGAAGAUCGUGAAUAUGAUGAUGAGGAAGAUGGUGAAUCUCGUUCUCAUGAAAAUGAUGAUGAUGCUCCUGCGGUUCAAAGUGAGAAGUAUAUUAUUAUGAUUUUUGUGUUAUUAUUACUGAUAAUUUAUUUAUUUUCCUUUAUUAAUCAAUUAGAUUUUUUAAUAAAUUUUAAUGUUUUGAUUAUUAGUUUGUCAUAUGAUUUAGAAGCUGAAACAAAUAUUUUGACACAACAAUGGUCUUGUACUUACUCACUUUUUGGUUUAACUACUCUAAAAUUUUUUGCUAAUAUUAUUCCGGUAUUCAUUUUUUCUAAUGAAAUGUCAUUUUGCAUUUUUUUUUAUUAUUUAUCUAUGAAUUCUGUUUUAGUAAUCAUUGAUAAUUAAAUAUCUUAUGUAUUAUUUAUGAGGAACAUUUAGAAUUAUGGUGUUCUGACCGACUUCUUAGAGUAAAAUUGAUAAUUAGAGAACGAUUGGUAAGUAAAUUCAAAAUGGAUUCUAUAUUUGGAUUUAAUUAUUGAGGAUUAUUUAUUUUUUAGUUUGUUAUUAUGUAAAUAUUUAGCAAUAUGUUGAGUUUUUGCCACUGUAUGGUAUGUAGAAGUAUAUUUAAAAAAGCAAAAAAAGUUGGAGAUGAAAUUUUUUGUUCAAGAAUUAAUUGAUUUAUGCUAUAUUAAGAAUAAAUAUGAAGAUGGAGAUGAGAAUAAAGAUGCGGGUGCUUCUAGCAUUAUUAAUGUGGUAGAUUAUAUUACAAAUCAUGACAUAUUAUUUGAUGUGGAUUAUUUUUUUGCAGGUGAAGAUCAAAAUAUACUUAAAUAUAAAAUAAAUAAGUUAUAUUUAACUCCAAUGGUAUGUAUGUAUAAUAUUAUUAUUAUAAAUUUAAUUAAAAAAACAUAUUAAUUAUUUUAUUCAUUUUAGUAUUGACGAGUGCAUUCUUUAAAGGGAUAUAAAGAACUAAAUACAAUUGAUGAGAUAGAAACUAUUGUGAUGAGAAGAGGAGACACAGUAAUAACGAGAGUUAAAAUGAAUUAAUCUUUUAAUACUUGAAUCCAUUAUGUAAUAUGAUUAAUUUUGUGUAUUUGAAAUAUAAUUUAGUAUUUACAAGAUAUUUUCUAACAAUAAUAUUAUAUAUUACUCAAUUAUUGUAGAAAAUAUAUGUUGAUCAUCCUCACAAUAAAGUAGUUACGCAUGUACUACUUAUUGUAGGAUUUAGGUAUAAAAUUAAUGAAUGUAGAGAAAAAAAUGAAAUAUUAGAUCGUUAAAAAUUUGUGUGAAAAUAAUUGGAGAGGCGGUGGUUAUUUUAGAAUUGAAUAUACUAAAAGGAAUGAUUGGAAAUACUAUGUUUCAAUUCUUAGUGUUAAAAUAAUUUUUUACUAAGUAAAAUAACUAAUUAGUUGUAUCUUUCUCUAAAUUCCAUUUCAGCAUAUAUAUAUAUAUAUAUAUAUAUAUUAUGAGUUCAGUGUCAUUUAUCAUUUACUAUUAUAUUAAAUUUUGGUAUUGUAUAAAUUAUAUAUUAAGUUUUUGUAAUAGAAUGAGUUGCUAACAACAUGUCUUUUACUUGAAUACAACUUAUUCCAUUAUAAAAAUUUAAUAUAUAAUUCAUAUAAUACUAAAAUUUAAUAUAAUAAUAAAUGAUAGACUACACUAACAAAAUAAUAUAAAUUCAUUAUAUAUACAUAUAUUGUAACGCAAUUCUGAGAGAAGGAUGCAGUUGAUUGGUAAAUUUACUUAGCAAAAAAUUGUUUUAUCACUAAGAAUUAGAUUAUAGUAUUCUCAAUCAUUUUUUUUAGUAUAUUCAAUUCUAAAAUAACCAUUGGCUCCCCAGUCGUUUCCAUACGAAUUUUUAACGAUCCAAUAUUUAUUUUUUUUUUUCAUGUUCAUUAAUUUCAUACCCAAAUCCUACAAUAAGUAGUACAUGCGUAACUACUUUAUUAUGAGGAGAAUCAGCAUAUAUUUUCUACAACAAUGGAACAAUAUAUAAUAUUAUUGUUAGAAAAUAUCUUGUAAAUAUUAAAUUAUAUUUAAAAUACACAAAAUUAAUCAUAAUACAUGCAGUUAGAUUCAAGUAUUGAUAGAAUUUAUUUAUUUUAACUCCCGCUAUUACUGUGUCUCCUCUCCUCAUCAUAAUAGUUUCUAUCUCCUCAAUUGUGUCUAGUUCUUUAUAUCCCUUUAAGAGAUACACUCGUCGAUACUAAAAUGAAUAAAAUAAUUAAUAUGUUCUUUUCUUUUAAUCAAAUUUAUAAUAAUAACAUUAUACAUACAUGCCAUUGGAGUUAGAUAUGACUUGUCUAUUUUGCAUUCAAGUAUAUUUUGAUCUUCACCCGCAAAAGAAUGGUCCAUGUUAAAUCGUAUGUCAUGAUUUGUAAUAUAAUCUAGCGCAUUAAUAAUUGUAGAUACACCCGCACCCUUAUCCCUAUCUCCAUCCUCAUUUUUAUUCUUAAUAUAACAUAAAUCAAUUAAUUCUUGGACCGAAAGCUUUAUCUCUAACUUUCUUUGCUUUCUUAAAUAUAUUUUUACACAUCCCACGGUGACAAAAGCCCAAUACAUUGUUAAAUAUUUACAUAGUAACAAACUAAUCAAUAAGUAAUUCUCAAUAAUUAAAUCUAAAUAUAUGUAAUCUAUUUUGAAUUUACUUACCAAUAAGUUCCCUGAUUAUCAAUUUUACUUUGAAAAUUAGAACACCAUACUUCUAAUAAAUACAUAAGAUAUUUAAUUGCCAAUGAUUGUUAAAAUAAAGUUCAUAGGUAAAUAAUAAAAAAACACAAAAUAACAUUUCAUUAAAAAGAAAGAAUGAUGAUUACGAGAAUGAUAUUGGCAGGGGAUUUUAGAGUAGUUAGAUCAAUAAGUGAGUCAAAUACAAGAGUAUUGUUGUGGGUGAGAAUAUAUGUUUCAACUUCUGAAUUAGAUGACAAACUAGUAAUUAAAAUAUUUAAAUUUAUUAGAAAUUUAAUUUACUAAUAAAAAAAUAAAUAAAUUAUCAUCACUAAUAACACCAAAAUCAUGAUAAUACUUUUUAUUUUCAACAACACUAGCUUAAUCAUCAUCAUUAUCAUGAGAAUAUGAUUCACCGUAAUUGUGGUAUAGUUCAUCCAAAUAAAAAGAUUCUAAAAAUUAUUUUGGUCAUGGAAAGUUAGAUGAAUUUCGGAAAGACAUUCUCAGAAGUCUAAGUUGUCUAUCUGGAAGAAGUCUCGUAAAAUAAUAGGUGUCAUCGAGAAGGGCGUUCCCAAAUGUCUGUCACGUCCACCUGAAAGGAGUCUUCAAAAAUGCUAGUCUUUCCCGAAAAAGGAGUUUCAAACAACUAGUUAUUCCUCCUGGAAGGAAGUUCCGGAUAGUCGACUCCAGCUGUUGUCUUUCUUAUCCGGGAAGUCCCUUUAGCGUACACUUUAGUCUUUUUUCCCAAAAGCAUAUGUCUCGUCCAAAAUCACUUUGUCUUAUGCUAGCGUGGAAAUAUUGUUACGAGGAGUUUGCUAAGUUUGUCAAGUCUUAACUAACUUAACACUUGUAGCCUCUGACUUAGAAUCUUUAUCUUGAGCCUAUAUAUACUACUAACACUUAUCAUUUUGAGUAUGCUAGAUUGACGAGUUUUGAAAGGAGAUUUCGAGAUUAAUAUUGUAGUCGACAAGCCACUAUUUCUACUAAUUUCAGUUCCAACUUAUCCUUAAUUAUCUAAUCUCACCAUUUCUGUCAAAAAUGAGAAUAAAAUAUAAUUUUUAUUUUUCAUAAUUUUUGUUGUGAAUUGUAUUUUUAAUAUAUAAUAAAUAAUAUUCAUACUAACUUACAUUAUAA
Long non-coding RNA from Cannabis sativa, 4083 nucleotides. RefSeq lists it as uncharacterized. The transcript is spliced from 2 exons. The record is from RefSeq and is a predicted model, not a curated record. Lineage: Eukaryota; Viridiplantae; Streptophyta; Magnoliopsida; Rosales; Cannabaceae.